GCUACCAUGCAAGUCGACGGAGCUAUUUUGGAAACUUCCUUCGGGAAGUGGAAUCUUUAGCUUAGUGGCGGACGGGUGAGUAACGCGUGAGCAAUCUGCCUUUGGAUGGGGGAUAACAGCCGGAAACGGCUGCUAAUACCGCAUAAUGCAACGGGACCGCAUGGUUCUGCUGCCAAAGAUUUAUUGUCCAAAGAUGAGCUCGCGUCUGAUUAGCCAGUUGGCGGGGUAACGGCCCACCAAAGCGACGAUCAGUAGCCGGACUGAGAGGUUGAACGGCCACAUUGGGACUGAGACACGGCCCAGACUCCUACGGGAGGCAGCAGUGGGGAAUAUUGCGCAAUGGGGGGAACCCUGACGCAGCAACGCCGCGUGAUUGAAGAAGGCCUUCGGGUUGUAAAGAUCUUUAAUCGGGGACGAAACAUGACGGUACCCGAGGAAUAAGCUCCGGCUAACUACGUGCCAGCAGCCGCGGUAAUACGUAGGGAGCAAGCGUUAUCCGGAUUUACUGGGUGUAAAGGGCGUGUAGGCGGGCCUGCAAGUCAGAAGUGAAAUCUGGGGGCUUAACCCCCAAACUGCUUUUGAAACUGCGGGUCUUGAGUGAUGGAGAGGCAGGCGGAAUUCCCAGUGUAGCGGUGAUAUGCGUAGAUAUUGGGACGAACACCAUGGCGAAGGCGGCCUGCUGGACAUUGACUGACACUGAGGCGCGAAAGCGUGGGGAGCCAACAGGAUUAAUACCCUGGUAGUCCAGCCGAAACGAUGGAUACUAGGUGGGGGAGCGAAUUGACCCCUCCCGUC
This 795-nucleotide ribosomal RNA is filed under the name uncultured bacterium. RNAcentral's name for it is "bacterial SSU rRNA". It matches the Rfam family "Bacterial small subunit ribosomal RNA", at positions 48 to 847 of the family's 1533-position model. The record is from RNAcentral.